RNAcentral lists this transfer RNA (62 nucleotides) under Tridacna gigas (giant clam). Its description in RNAcentral is "tRNA-Gly". Lineage: Eukaryota; Metazoa; Mollusca; Bivalvia; Cardiida; Cardiidae. The record is from RNAcentral.
UGUCUUUUUGGUGUAAGUAGCAUUCUUGCCUUCCAAGCAAGAGGUCUUUUAAUAAAAGAAAA